Molecule: non-coding RNA, 325 nt
Organism: Hydra vulgaris (swiftwater hydra)
Lineage: Eukaryota; Metazoa; Cnidaria; Hydrozoa; Anthoathecata; Hydridae
Source: RefSeq, a predicted model, not a curated record
GUAACAAACACUGAAAGAUUCAUUUGGUUCGAUUGGUGUUUCUGUUUUAAGGGCACAAUGUGUUAAACAUUAGAAGUUUUAACUCGUAGCAUGAAAGCUGAAAAAUAGAUUUUUGCUUCAACGAAUGCUAAUCUUUAACAAGUAAACGUUAAAGCGCUGUCAUUGCACUGUGUUAACUCUGUUGCGGAAGAAUCAACUUUUUUUAACUUUGGAUGUGCUUUAAAACUAGGCUAUUUUUAUAGCCACAAAUAUGUUAAAAAGAUUACUAAGCAAAUGGAAAUACAUUUAUUUAGUUUUUAUUUUUUAUUUACGAAAUAUAUUUUAA